Molecule: ribosomal RNA, 1152 nt
Filed under: Staphylococcus aureus
Lineage: Bacteria; Bacillati; Bacillota; Bacilli; Caryophanales; Staphylococcaceae
Description: partial 23S ribosomal RNA
Rfam family: Bacterial large subunit ribosomal RNA
Source: RNAcentral
AAAUGUUGUCUCUCUUGAGUGGAUCCUGAGUACGACGGAGCACGUGAAAUUCCGUCGGAAUCUGGGAGGACCAUCUCCUAAGGCUAAAUACUCUCUAGUGACCGAUAGUGAACCAGUACCGUGAGGGAAAGGUGAAAAGCACCCCGGAAGGGGAGUGAAAUAGAACCUGAAACCGUGUGCUUACAAGUAGUCAGAGCCCGUUAAUGGGUGAUGGCGUGCCUUUUGUAGAAUGAACCGGCGAGUUACGAUUUGAUGCAAGGUUAAGCAGUAAAUGUGGAGCCGUAGCGAAAGCGAGUCUGAAUAGGGCGUUUAGUAUUUGGUCGUAGACCCGAAACCAGGUGAUCUACCCUUGGUCAGGUUGAAGUUCAGGUAACACUGAAUGGAGGACCGAACCGACUUACGUUGAAAAGUGAGCGGAUGAACUGAGGGUAGCGGAGAAAUUCCAAUCGAACCUGGAGAUAGCUGGUUCUCUCCGAAAUAGCUUUAGGGCUAGCCUCAAGUGAUGAUUAUUGGAGGUAGAGCACUGUUUGGACGAGGGGCCCCUCUCGGGUUACCGAAUUCAGACAAACUCCGAAUGCCAAUUAAUUUAACUUGGGAGUCAGAACAUGGGUGAUAAGGUCCGUGUUCGAAAGGGAAACAGCCCAGACCACCAGCUAAGGUCCCAAAAUAUAUGUUAAGUGGAAAAGGAUGUGGCGUUGCCCAGACAACUAGGAUGUUGGCUUAGAAGCAGCCAUCAUUUAAAGAGUGCGUAAUAGCUCACUAGUCGAGUGACACUGCGCCGAAAAUGUACCGGGGCUAAACAUAUUACCGAAGCUGUGGAUUGUCCUUUGGACAAUGGUAGGAGAGCGUUCUAAGGGCGUUGAAGCAUGAUCGUAAGGACAUGUGGAGCGCUUAGAAGUGAGAAUGCCGGUGUGAGUAGCGAAAGACGGGUGAGAAUCCCGUCCACCGAUUGACUAAGGUUUCCAGAGGAAGGCUCGUCCGCUCUGGGUUAGUCGGGUCCUAAGCUGAGGCCGACAGGCGUAGGCGAUGGAUAACAGGUUGAUAUUCCUGUACCACCUAUAAUCGUUUUAAUCGAUGGGGGGACGCAGUAGGAUAGGCGAAGCGUGCGAUUGGAUUGCACGUCUAAGCAGUAAGGCUGAGUAUUAGGCAAAU